RNAcentral lists this ribosomal RNA (985 nucleotides) under Bacillus zhangzhouensis. RNAcentral's name for it is "bacterial SSU rRNA". It matches the Rfam family "Bacterial small subunit ribosomal RNA", at positions 56 to 1023 of the family's 1533-position model. Lineage: Bacteria; Bacillati; Bacillota; Bacilli; Caryophanales; Bacillaceae. The record is from RNAcentral.
UGCAGUCGAGCGGACAGAAGGGAGCUUGCUCCCGGAUGUUAGCGGCGGACGGGUGAGUAACACGUGGGUAACCUGCCUGUAAGACUGGGAUAACUCCGGGAAACCGGAGCUAAUACCGGAUAGUUCCUUGAACCGCAUGGUUCAAGGAUGAAAGACGGUUUCGGCUGUCACUUACAGAUGGACCCGCGGCGCAUUAGCUAGUUGGUGGGGUAAUGGCUCACCAAGGCGACGAUGCGUAGCCGACCUGAGAGGGUGAUCGGCCACACUGGGACUGAGACACGGCCCAGACUCCUACGGGAGGCAGCAGUAGGGAAUCUUCCGCAAUGGACGAAAGUCUGACGGAGCAACGCCGCGUGAGUGAUGAAGGUUUUCGGAUCGUAAAGCUCUGUUGUUAGGGAAGAACAAGUGCGAGAGUAACUGCUCGCACCUUGACGGUACCUAACCAGAAAGCCACGGCUAACUACGUGCCAGCAGCCGCGGUAAUACGUAGGUGGCAAGCGUUGUCCGGAAUUAUUGGGCGUAAAGGGCUCGCAGGCGGUUUCUUAAGUCUGAUGUGAAAGCCCCCGGCUCAACCGGGGAGGGUCAUUGGAAACUGGGAAACUUGAGUGCAGAAGAGGAGAGUGGAAUUCCACGUGUAGCGGUGAAAUGCGUAGAGAUGUGGAGGAACACCAGUGGCGAAGGCGACUCUCUGGUCUGUAACUGACGCUGAGGAGCGAAAGCGUGGGGAGCGAACAGGAUUAGAUACCCUGGUAGUCCACGCCGUAAACGAUGAGUGCUAAGUGUUAGGGGGUUUCCGCCCCUUAGUGCUGCAGCUAACGCAUUAAGCACUCCGCCUGGGGAGUACGGUCGCAAGACUGANACUCAAACGAAUUGACGGGGGCCCGCACAAGCAGAGGAGCAUGUGGUGUAAUUCGAAGCAACGCAAAGAACCUUACCAUGUCUUGACAUCCUCUGACAACCCUACAGAUAAGAGAUUUCCCUUUCG